Long non-coding RNA from Lagopus leucura (white-tailed ptarmigan), 243 nucleotides. RefSeq lists it as uncharacterized. Lineage: Eukaryota; Metazoa; Chordata; Aves; Galliformes; Phasianidae. The transcript has 3 exons. The record is from RefSeq and is a predicted model, not a curated record.
UGGAGAUCCUUCCUCUGGAGUUCUGUAGCGAGCCCAGGACAAGGGUCUUCCUUAAAGAACUGCCUCUUCUCAACUCUGUACAACAUCCAACAGAGUGGGAUUUGAAGCAAGAGAUCCCUGGUUGUAAUCCGAAGAUUUGCAAGGAUGAACUGCUCAAGACACCCUUUAUUUUGUGGUGUGACAGCUGUGCACGUCUGUUCAGAGCAUGGCUUGUCUUUCACGUCUCUCACACUGCUGCUGAAA